CUCCUAAUGCAGCCGAUGGCGGUGGCAAGCCCGCAGACAAUGCAGAGCCGGAA
RNAcentral lists this non-coding RNA (53 nucleotides) under unclassified sequences. The record is from RNAcentral.